RNAcentral lists this transfer RNA (72 nucleotides) under Eremothecium sinecaudum. Its description in RNAcentral is "tRNA-Glu". It matches the Rfam family "tRNA". From Rfam's summary of the family: Transfer RNA (tRNA) molecules are approximately 80 nucleotides in length. Their secondary structure includes four short double-helical elements and three loops (D, anti-codon, and T loops). Lineage: Eukaryota; Fungi; Ascomycota; Saccharomycetes; Saccharomycetales; Saccharomycetaceae. The record is from RNAcentral.
GAUCUUAUAGUCUAACGGUUAAGACAUCAUCUCUUCAUGUUGAUAAUGUAGGUUCGAUUCCUACUAAGAUUA